CAGUUUGUACCAAGAGAUCUAGACGACAAUAGUGAGAGAGAUAUGGAAUUGCAGGCAUGAUAAAUUAAAUUAAUCCGAAAUAAGAUGAGUGGAGGGACCAUAACACAUUACUAUGUUGGUUAAUUAGGUAUCAUGCCACACAUGGAGGUAUGUACAUCCUGAUCCACUCACUAUUCAUUUAAUUAUUUUCUUUUUAUAUAAUUUAUUUCUUUAUUUAUAUUUAAAGUCUCAUUAUUUGCAAUUCAUUAUAUC
RNAcentral lists this long non-coding RNA (252 nucleotides) under Salvia miltiorrhiza (redroot sage). Its description in RNAcentral is "long non-coding RNA (SMIL_LNC001333)". The record is from RNAcentral. Lineage: Eukaryota; Viridiplantae; Streptophyta; Magnoliopsida; Lamiales; Lamiaceae.